GUACACACCGCCCGUCGCUGCUACCGAUUGAAUAAUCCGGUGAACUCGUCGGAUUGUGAUAUUUAUAUAUCUUUCGGGYUAUAUUAUAUUACAAGAAGUUGAGUAAACCAUGUUAUUUAGAGGAAGCAAAAGUCGUAACAAGGUUUCCGUAGGUGAACCUGCAGAAGGAUCA
This 172-nucleotide ribosomal RNA is filed under the name uncultured eukaryote. RNAcentral's name for it is "partial small subunit ribosomal RNA". The record is from RNAcentral.